UACGGAGGGUGCAAGCGUUAUCCGGAUUCACUGGGUUUAAAGGGUGCGUAGGCGGAUUGCUAAGUCAGGGGUGAAAUCCUGGAGCUCAACUCCAGAACUGCCUUUGAUACUGGUGAUCUUGAGUCCGGGAGAGGUGAGUGGAACUGCAAGUGUAGCGGUGAAAUGCGUAGAGAUGUGGAGGAACACCAGUGGCGAAGGCGACUCUUUGGCCUGUAACUGACGCUGAGGCGCGAAAGCGUGGGGAGCAAACAGG
Molecule: ribosomal RNA, 253 nt
Filed under: uncultured bacterium
Lineage: Bacteria
Description: partial 16S ribosomal RNA
Rfam family: Bacterial small subunit ribosomal RNA
Source: RNAcentral